GACGAACGCUGGCGGCGUGCCUAAUACAUGCAAGUCGAACGCAGUGGGGACGGGUGAGUAACACGUGGGUAACCUCCCAUCAGAGGGGAUAACACUUGGAAACAGGUGCUAAACCGAUACUGAUGGAUGGACCCGCGGUGCAUUAGCUAGUGGGUGAGGUAACUGCUAACCAAGGCCACGAUGCAUAGACGACCUGAGAGGGUUAUCAGCCACACUGGUACUGGGACGCGGCCCUGACUCCGACGGGAGGCAGCAGUAGGGAGUCUUCGGCAAUGGACGAAAGUCUGACCGAGCAACGCCGCGUGAGUGAAGAAGUUUUUCGGAUCGUAAAACUCUGUUGUUAGAGAAGCGGUAUCUAACCAGAAAGCCACGGCUAACUACGUGCCAGCAGCCGCGGUAAUUA
Molecule: ribosomal RNA, 403 nt
Filed under: uncultured bacterium
Lineage: Bacteria
Description: partial 16S ribosomal RNA
Rfam family: Bacterial small subunit ribosomal RNA
Source: RNAcentral